This 104-nucleotide microRNA precursor is filed under the name Digitalis purpurea (common foxglove). Its description in RNAcentral is "miR156a stem-loop (dpr-MIR156a)". Its record names the gene dpr-MIR156a. The record is from miRBase by way of RNAcentral. Lineage: Eukaryota; Viridiplantae; Streptophyta; Magnoliopsida; Lamiales; Plantaginaceae.
AGGGAUUUGACAGAAGAGAGGGAGCACAGGCAGGGAAAUUGUAUAGAGAUUAGUGUUUUAUACGUUUAUGCGUGUGAUCCCUUCCCUUCUGUCAGCUAAUUCCA